Long non-coding RNA from Podarcis raffonei (Aeolian wall lizard), 1310 nucleotides. RefSeq lists it as uncharacterized. The record is from RefSeq and is a predicted model, not a curated record. The transcript is spliced from 2 exons. NCBI's taxonomy places the organism in Eukaryota, Metazoa, Chordata, Lepidosauria, Squamata, Lacertidae.
AAUUUUUGUUAAAUAAAUAAAUGCAGCAUCACAACCAGAACUAUCAUAGGCAUUGGAGAGGCAGGAGGGUAAUUCUAUCAACCUCCUUUCUAUCAGAAUCAAACCAGCUAUCUUUCAGAAGAACCAUGUGUCAUUUCUGACCCCUCUAGCCCAAUGUUAUGUACUCUCCUGCAGUGGUGAGGCAUGGUUUGCCGGUGCCCAGGGCAGGGCAAGUGUUGCGCCCCCUCCCCAGUGGACUGGGCAGCUGGAGUGGAGGCAUGCUUGCAGUCUGCUGAAAUAGCAGGACUCCACAAAAUCCUACUGCCUCUCUUCUGGUAGGUCUCAAGUACAGGAUUACACCUUCAGUGAUGCAGCCAGUAAUUACGUUUAGCAUAAUUACGUUUAGCAUUAUGUGCAGUGUUCAGAGUAUGAGUGCUUCACAGGCUGGGCAUAUGAAAAAUAAAUUCAAAACGCAUCUAAAUGUUUCUUUUUCUCGAUUCGGAUCAAAUAUGGUACGAGGAAACUUCCUCAAAAUGCAGUAUUUCAUAAGAAAGGGCAUGAUAGAAACAGAUAUAUAUGGAUUGCAGCUGGUGUGUACACUGCUUCCCAGACCUGUGGUGGGGGUGCACUGCAUGCAGAGUCAAUGGGAACAUGUACACAGGCACGUAAUUAUCUUGAAAUCUUUACAACAACCCUUUAAGUUAGGUCACUCUUUAUUAUCUCCAUGUUGCAGAAGGGAGGAAGGGCUGUAGUGGAGAUUGCAGUUUGCCUAGGGCUACGUAAUGAGUUCAUGACAGAAGUAAAUGUUGAACCCCAAGGUCUUCUUGAGUAGAAGCUCCAGCAGCUAAAUUCCAUAAAUUUGGCAUUAAUUUGUAUUGCUUACCAUCCAUUUCUGCCUGCAUUUCAAGACUUUCUUUGCUAUUACAAACACUAGAAACUUAGGCUUUUAAAAAAAAAAUCAAACUUGAGAUUCACAGAAAAAUGCAAAUAACCUCAUGGGUAGCCUACCAGUUGCUAUUCAAUUGUUUUCACAAGGAAACAAGCAAACCCUCAGAUAUCCAUUUGGUUGAUUUGUCUGGUGAUUUUUCUUUCUUUUAUCCCAGAUCUUAGGAGUGAAGAAUGUACUUGAUGUGCAUCUUCUGUCCCCCCUGGAAAUAAUUCUACGAUUUAAACUUUCAACUCUGUAUCCCAAACAAAAGGGUUCAGAUAGUGCCCAUCAAAAAAUAAAGGGUUGUAAAAGCCAAACUAUGUGAACCAGGGGGUGGUGGGACUUCUCUAUUACAUGCCUUGUUACUUGAAAAAAAAUAAAAUCAUGCCAAAUUGCAUACAGA